Paramisgurnus dabryanus is the source of this 1041-nucleotide long non-coding RNA. RefSeq lists it as uncharacterized. The record is from RefSeq and is a predicted model, not a curated record. Lineage: Eukaryota; Metazoa; Chordata; Actinopteri; Cypriniformes; Cobitidae.
UCUCUUUAAUUGUAUAAAAUUGUCAAGCCUAUCUAAUCGGUAAAGCCGGUUCUGUGAUUAGUAGUAAAUUGCCAUAAUCUGAAAACAGGUGAAGCACCAUUAACUACAUGCCGUAGUUCACUGACAAGCUAGCCCAUAUAGCAUUCAUUAUCGCAUAAAUUUACAUUAAAGUUUUAUUGAAAAUGAAUGCAUGAUUUGUCAUUUUCAGAGUUCACCAGACUUCUCUGUGUUAUUUCCUGACCAUGCCGAAAAGCUAUUUGAAACUUGGGCAUUGCAUUUUCCAGACAGAAUCCUGCACUUCCCAGCCAAGAACCAGGAGCAUCAACAAAUCACCUCCAGAACCCCAUGAUGAUAUUCCAACUCUUGUCUACAAAAGUGGGAAGAAAAUCUUAAGUCUAUGUUGGGACCAACAUGGUUGCAUUCUUCUGAGAGGCUGAGGUGACAAAACCAUUCCCAUUUGUCCUUGGAUUGGAAGAUGGCGAUCUCUGCCAUCAAGCCUUCGUUGUUUUUGACAGACAGUCACUCCAGCAAUACACCCUCCUUGGUGAUGUUGACAUGUUUUAAACUUUUUUUUAUGUUUUGGACAUUAAUUUUACUAAGAAGUGCACAUCAGUGUGGGUGUUUUUGAAGACUGUUGUUUACAAACUCCCAAGAACGGAAUCCCUUUCUAUAAGAAGUCUGUGUAGUUAUUUGUCAUGCUAAGGUGAUAACUCAUGUUGAUCAUAUAUUGACUGUUUGUGCAACUUUGUGUUGAUCUUAUGUGUUACAUUAACCAUUUCUUAUUACACGGUUCUCUAAAAUGCUAGAUUCUGAUUGGCCAGUCGUGACAUUCUACUACUGCUCAAAACUAAAAACUCCAAUGCUGCAAAUCAUUUUGACAGGGACAGUUUUAUAUUACACAAAAAUUAAAUAUCAAUGUCUAUUAAUUACAUAUCCGACAUUAAAUUUAUAAAUGAUUAAAUGUGUUCGUGACAUUUGUCCUGAAGAAAAUGUUGGGGCUUUUUUCUGUGAUGACAUGCUGCCAAUACAUUAUCCCUUACU